UGGGGUAUAUUGGACAAUGGGCGAAAGCCUGAUCCAGCCAUGCCGCGUGUGUGAAGAAGGUCUUCGGAUUGUAAAGCACUUUAAGUUGGGAGGAAGGGCAGUAAGCGAAUACCUUGCUGUUUUGACGUUACCGACAGAAUAAGCACCGGCUAACUCUGUGCCAGCAGCCGCGGUAAUACAGAGGGUGCAAGCGUUAAUCGGAAUUACUGGGCGUAAAGCGCGCGUAGGUGGUUCGUUAAGUUGAAUGUGAAAGCCCCGGGCUCAACCCUGGAACUGCAUCCAAAACUGGCGAGCUAUAGUAGAGCAGAGGGUGGUGGAAUUUCCUGUGUAGCGGUGAGAUGCGUCGAUAUAGGAAGGAACACCAGUAGCGAAGGCGACCACCUGGGCUCAUACUGACACUGAGGUGCGAAAGCGUGGGGAGCAAACAGG
This 429-nucleotide ribosomal RNA is filed under the name Pseudomonadota bacterium. RNAcentral's name for it is "Proteobacteria bacterium partial 16S ribosomal RNA". It matches the Rfam family "Bacterial small subunit ribosomal RNA", at positions 355 to 776 of the family's 1533-position model. The record is from RNAcentral. Lineage: Bacteria; Pseudomonadati; Pseudomonadota.